Molecule: long non-coding RNA, 4378 nt
Organism: Cavia porcellus (domestic guinea pig)
Lineage: Eukaryota; Metazoa; Chordata; Mammalia; Rodentia; Caviidae
Exons: 5
Source: RefSeq, a predicted model, not a curated record
CUGCCGGCCCCUUGUGGAUGACCUGAUUUGGCUUCUUGAGCGAUGACUCCCAAACAACCCUGCUCAGAGCAGGGAUGUGACCAGACAGCCCUCAGGAAUUUCUUCUGCAUCUCCUCUCACCCUGUUGGAGAUGCCCUGCUGGACUCGGGCUGUGUUCACUCCUAGCAACAGAGUUUCGGUGGCAUACCUCUAAUCGGCUGCACUAAAAGGAAGGGAAAAGGCCAGAGAGAGGGACAGGAGAAGGAUGGCCUUGUAAAUUGGCAAGGACUGUUGGUUGCUUUUUUUGUUUGGUGCUUUCAAAUUCAAGGCUGGUUUGGACAUUGCAGGAGCCCUGUUUCUCCACUAACUGACACUCAGUGGAAAAGGUGCCAAGGGAUAAACAGUUCUCCUCCACUGUAUCCUUCCCACGUAUUAUGGAUUAAGAACUGGUGGUCAACUUAAUGCCAGCUGGAUUACAUCAGCAUGGCACUGAGCAAAGAUGCUCCACCUGAGGAAAUUUGCCAACAUAAAUAUGUGGAGAAGGAGAAGGAGGACGUUAAUGCUUUAUUGCAUUGUGUUGAGAUGUUAAGGCAUUGUGGAUUCUCCUACUAGUUGCUGUUUGAGCCGUUGGUUCUCCUGGAGAAGCUUUGGUCUUCACGUCAAGCAUUGCUUCCUGGCUCCAGAGGGUAAGACAUGUGCCACUUGGUCUCCAGGAUGAACUCAUCACGCUGCUUCCUAGCAUGUACCCGACUGUGCUCGUCAGAGGAGCUCGGGGCCUCCGUGUCACUGAGCAUGGCUGUGGUGCCUUUCAGGACAGCCCUAAUCCUUGUUGUGAGUGUGACUUCUCAGCUCCAGUGUAGAACCCUCAUCCCACCAGCACAGCUCCUUCACCCCUCUGGCAUGGACUUUCUGGCUUCCACCACUGACCGUUGGUCCUUCCCAGCACAGAUCUGCAAAAGAGACUGGCAUGAGUCCUUCUUGUGGGCUCUGGACCUCCUGUUGGACUAAUGGGAGGCAUUCUCAUGAGCUCUGGGUUUUCCAUCUGGACUCAUAUGAGACAUUGCUGUGGGAUUUAGGCCCUUGACUAAAUACUCUAUGUCUUUGGUGUUGCAGAUAGAUUUCCUGCAUUCUCCGGUGUUAACUUCCGGUGAACAUUAUAAAAAUAAUAUUAUAAACUCCAUGUCCUGGUUCUAAUUGUUCUCUGUGCUCAACCCCUAACUACAACAGACCCAAAGCAGCACAGACAAGUGGCAAUGGACUGAAACCUCUGAAACUGUGAGUCAAAGUGACCCUUCUUCUUUUUCAAGUUGGUUGUCCCAACUAUUUUUGUCACAGUGAUAAGACAUUACUUCACAGAGAAAGGCUGCAGUGAGUGAAUCAUGUACUAGUGUCUGUAUAACUUUUAGAGAGGUUGCCACCCAGCUUUCUAAGGUGACUGGUGCAAUUCAUGGGGACGACAGCUACCACAUGAAUGAAUCCCACAUGACCUGGAUGGAAAAGUAUGCUAUUUCACCUUCACAGGAGGUCUAUCUUCAAAUUAGGACACCUGAGGGAGUUGGAAGCUGUGGAGCAAAACGAAUCAAGGACCCAGUACCAGUCUGAAACUAAAGGCCUGGAAGCAACCUAGAGAGUCGCUAUCAUGAAUCUUCAAUGAAAGGCUGAAGAAACAGAGAGCUGAUAUCCACAGGUCUAACGUUGAUGGGCGCCAGGACCUCAACUAUCCAACUUCUACCCCGAUAUCAAUGUGAUGGCUGGAGGGAAAAGAUCUGAUAUCCUCAUCUCGUAUCAGGAAACUCCUUCACCCAGGAAUUAAGAGCAUUUCAAGAUUUCAAUUCGUGUUCCCUUGGGAUCUGUUACUUCCUGUCCUGGGACAAGACAAAGCAUCACGGCAGAAUACAGCUGUAUCUUCAUGACAGCCAGGAAUUAAACAACAAGAAGACAACCAGAAAGGAGGAAUGGGUCUGAGACAAGAGUAUGCUCUUCCAGACUGAGCCUCUAGUCUGCUUCCUCCCGGCAGGCUUCUCCUAAUGGUGCUUUCAGCUAUGAAGCCAUCGGUGGGUGCAUCCAUUGAUAAAAAGUCAGUGUUCUUAUGAUUCAGCGACCUCGCUAGAUCCCCAUCUCUGAAUUCUGCUGCAUGCGAGACCAACUCCGCAGUCCAUGAGUCUUUGGUGGGGACACCUAAUAUUUAAAAUAUAAUGGGAUACCAGUACGGCGUGUCACUUGCUCUGAGGUUCAGUUUUCCUUCAUUCUGCAAUGAGAAUAGUACUGAUGAUCACUACAAGAAUCCAACAAAGGGCUGGGGAUUUAGCUCAGCAUAAGCGCCUGCCUUGCAAGCACGCGGUCGUGAGUUUGAUCCCUGGUACCAAUAAAAAAAGAAUCCAACAAAGCCAGAUGAAACGGGUAUUGACCAACCACCUAACACAUAUUUGCUGCCAAAUAGAGGGUCCUUUAUUCAUUCAAUGUUUAAGUCAGCUGACAACCACAAAGAAUUUAGAAAAGAUGUAUUUUAGAGAGAUGACUGUUGAACAUUGUAUCACACAAAGCUUCUGAAAAUCUGAGAAACUCAGAAAUCAGGAUGGGGAGAAGGAAAGUGGAAGUGAGAGGGGGAUGUUGAAUGGGGAAAGUGUCUCCGUUGUUUGUUUUUAAAAGGAAAAGGUGUGUGUCAGCCGGUUGACUCCUCAAAAACACUAAUUAAAAUUUUAUUCUUUUUAUCUCCAUAAAACAAGCAAAAUACUUUUAGCAAUACUGAACUUUCUAGAGGCUCAAGAAAAUAAUUGCCUGGGUCUUACAUUAAUUGAUUUUUAAAAUUACUCUUAGGUUUUAGGUUUGGAGUUUGCUUUUGCGAACAUUCAGUGAGUUAAAGCCAAAUUCUAAGUCAAGUGACAGCUUCUGAUGUACACAGAAAGACAGAGCUCAGGCAGCUGCUUCUGGCCUCUGACACUGCUGAAAGGUCAGAUCUCGGCUCUCUGCUGGGACUGUAGAGUACUGGGGGGGGACUGUGCCUCAUGCCAGCUACCCAACAAGAAGUCACACCCCAGGCUACCCUUGAUGUGCUGAGGUCUCUUAGGAAAGCAGCUUCUCUGAGCUCCUCUUCCUGCUCUCCCAGAUGCAGAGUGGAGGCCAGGUGUGCUGCUGUUGAAUGGUCAGGACAAUGGUAAUCUUGCAAAGUGUUUUGAGAACUGAAAUUAUCAAAUAUUGAGGUGCAUAUGUAAACAUACCAUGCAUUUUUCUCCUAACCUCAAAGGCAAUCUUCACUGUGGAGGGGAUUUUCUUUGUAUCUCUAUUGCUUGUAUUCUCACCAAUUUUAUAGUCACAACCAAUGUGUAAUAUUAAUUCUUAAGUUUUAUAUAAAUGAUACCUACACAUAUGUUUCUGUAACUUACCCUUAUCUCUCAAUAUCAUGCUUUUGAGAUGUAGUUAUAUAGAUGUAUUUAUACAUUAAAAUCUAGUGCAAUUUAUUUUAACUGCUAGAGAAUAUUUCUUUGUAGAAAAACUGUACUUUAUGCCUUUAUUGAUGGAUACUUAGCUUGUUUAAUGUUUUUGUGAUUACUAAUAAGACUAUAAUGAAUAUCUUUGAUCAUAACUGCAAAAUGCAUGUGCCAGGCUUUCUCUAGGCUGUACAUGUAAAAGUCAAUUCCUGCAAAAUAGGGUGUGCAUAUCUUCAGCUUUAGUAGAUAUUGACGAAUCGUUCUCUGAAGAGCCUAUACUAAUUUACAACCCUAUCCACACUUACGACAGUUUCUACUUUCUCAUCAAUGCUUGGUAUUAUAAGACUUUUAAAUUUUGUUCCUAACUGAAUAGCAAUACAAAUGACCACUUUUUAUUAUAAAUACGUAUUUUAUUUUUUACUAACAAGUUUUUACAUUCAAAAGCAUUCCUUAGCUGUUUGAAUUUACUCUUCUAUAGAUUUCUUGUUCAUGUCCUUCGUCAAUUGCUCCCUUAUUGUUUUGUUUCUUUAAAAUGCAUUUGUGGAAAAAUAUUCUUAAUAUUCUGGAAACAAAUCCUUUGUUGACUACAUGAUAUUGAUUUCCAUGUUCCUGAACUCUCAGCUAUUUUUAUUGGGCAGACUUGAAUGUAAACAGCUAGAGCUGCCAGGCAAAUUUUGAACUAGGUCAUCACAGAUUUCUACAGCACUAUAGCCAAGUGGCCAGAGAUAGGCCUGGGGUUCAGAGACCUUGGGUCCUAGUUUCAGUGUGACCCCUAGUUAUCCGAGUUCCUGGGUCUCUUUUAUUCGCAUCUGUAAAAUCACAAUAUUAAUAGCAGCUCCCAAGGGCUUCUGUGAGACACAAACAAGGUAUAUAAAAUCACCUUGCAAAAUGCAAAACAAACACUGGCCAUUAUUAGUAGCAGCAACCCAAAUCGUAUUAUUUGUGCAGGCUGCCAUAAUAAAAUACCACAA